AUCGACGGGGAGGUUUGGCACCUCGAUGUCGGCUCAUCGCAUCCUGGGGCUGUAGUCGGUCCCAAGGGUUGGGCUGUUCGCCCAUUAAAGCGGUACGCGAGCUGGGUUCAGAACGUCGUGAGACAGUUCGGUCCCUAUCCGUCGCGGGCGCAGGAAAUUUGAGAGGAGCUGUCCUUAGUACGAGAGGACCGGGAUGGACGCACCGCUGGUGUACCAGUUGUUCUGCCAAGGGCAUCGCUGGGUAGCUAUGUGCGGACGGGAUAAGUGCUGAAAGCAUCUAAGCAUGAAGCCCCCCUCAAGAUGAGAUUUCCCAUUCCGCAAGGAAGUAAGAUCCCUGAAAGAUGAUCAGGUUGAUAGGUCUGAGGUGGAAGUGUGGCGACACAUGGAGCUGACAGAUACUAAUCGAUCGAGG
This 412-nucleotide ribosomal RNA is filed under the name Citrobacter braakii. Its description in RNAcentral is "partial 23S ribosomal RNA". It matches the Rfam family "Bacterial large subunit ribosomal RNA", at positions 2504 to 2913 of the family's 2925-position model. The record is from RNAcentral. Lineage: Bacteria; Pseudomonadati; Pseudomonadota; Gammaproteobacteria; Enterobacterales; Enterobacteriaceae.